Non-coding RNA from Heterocephalus glaber (naked mole-rat), 3491 nucleotides. NCBI's taxonomy places the organism in Eukaryota, Metazoa, Chordata, Mammalia, Rodentia, Bathyergidae. The record is from RefSeq and is a predicted model, not a curated record.
UCUAGGUGACUAGCAAAUGACCCAAUAAGUUUAUAUCAUUUUUUGCACAUGAUCUUCCACCUGUUACCAAACAUAAAAUGUGCAGAUUUUGCCUGUUCAUUUUAGAAUAAAACAAAAAUAUGCCGCACCAUUGAUCAUUAAGCUGUAAGUUUCACGAUCCUUUAAAACGGGGGAAAUUGAGCAAAAAUACUACUUUUGGCAAAAUUUCUCGAUUGAGUUUAUAUGACGUCACUGGGCCCCCUGAACAUUUUCUAAACUUUGAGCCUUAUCCAUAAACGCUUUUUGGCGUUCUAAGGCUUCUCUCCCUUCCUUAAAAAUAAAAAAACGGAGACUUGGGAAUAAAAAUUGCCCAAGAUGGCGAAACGGUUGUUGUUUAGAGGGCAGGGGAAAAAAUGGAGGAUAUUGUAAUAUACACAAAGGGAUAAAUUUCAACAACUCGGCCAAGGACUGCAGCUGCUUCUCUCUUUUUAAGGAAGCAAAACACAAAAGAUAAAUACAGAGGGAGAGAGAAAAGAGAAAAUCUCCCAAACAGCAGGGCCAGCUCCUACUCUCCAAACACUUCCUUUUCGAAAUGCCAAUUCUGGGGUUCUUGGAAUUACUUUAAGGGGAGGGGAGCCGAGAAAGCGGGGCGGGGGGACACGAUUAAAAGAGGGAAGCAGAAGAGUUGAGAGCUGGCGGCCGUUCCUGGGGGAAAAACUACUAGAUGAGACAUUACUGUAGGAAAAGCAAAGCUUCUCACACCUCCUGCGUCCAGACAGACCUUCCCAGGACCGCACCUCUCCGCGUCCUCCUCCCCCAAACUCCACUCGGGACCCCAAGAGCCACCCCUGCCUUCCAGCCAGCACAACAAAGAGACACACCGACCGGCGAGGGUAAACAGCGGCGCCUGGGCGAGCAGGGCGGCAGGGCGAGCGCCUCCGAGAGCAACUCCGGAGUCCUCCCUGCUCGCGGGAGCGUAGUUUCUCCUUUUCUUUCUACCAGCUUCAUAACAUUUGGAAUUUUUCAUCUUCACCCGCUCCCGUCACACCCGAGGAUUUUUAACUCACCUUUACUUUCGAAGUGAGAGUUGCAGUAGAUGGGAUUUUUGCCUCACCCAGAUGGUUGAAGGUUAAGAUUUUUGAACUCCCUACCACCCACCUCCUUAUUUCUCUUAUAAUUUCUGCAAGAAAAGUAUAAAGAGAGUUGGAGUGGAGGUGAAAUUUGUGAUCGGGAAAGACCUCGACUCCCUCCUUCUCCGUCUUCCGCCUCUCUCUCUCUGAUUAGUUCCUAUCCAGCAGCAGAUUGAAGCAGGAGAUGAUUCUUCUCAAGGUUUGUUCAGCAGCUUCACUUCUAGGCGAAGGCUUCAUGAACCAAGUGACGUCAACCAACAAGGCUUCUCUCUCUCUCCUCUCUCUAACAAUGAAAGUUGCUGUUAACAAGGGAAAAGGAGAGAGAAUUGUUUAUACCAUUUCAGUUCCAAUAAUAAAUGACCUAUCAGCUCCUAAAGAAGCCAAGGGAGGGGGUUGCUUCUUCCCUCCAAGAACACUGUAGCUGAGUUUGCACCGAUCCUUGUCCCAGGAAAAAGUUAAGAAACUUAAAUGUUUUGUUUUGCUUUUAGAAGAGGACAGAAAACAGGGUUGAAAACUUAAUUGUUAAAAAAUGUAAACUAAUAGUCACUAUUGGUUAACCAUUUUCACUUAAACUUUUUAUGUUUGCAAACUCAAUUCUGUUGAAGUCUACAAACCAACUAAAUUAAUAUGCCAAGAAUUUGUGAAUGUUAGGACUAAAGAGCAGGUCGCAAGAUGGUCCCAGGGUAAAAUGCUAUUGCCUUCCCAUGGACAAGUUACACUGGCUGUAAUGUUUAUGCACUGAGCUAAAAUAAAAUCUAAAAAAGGACGUUAAAAUAGCAAAUCGGUUUAAAGUUAAAUUUACAAACUAAGCAGUAAUGUCGAUCGUUUUGUUUUCCAGAUUCUGAGAGGUUAAGAAACGGAUAGAUAAUUGUAGGAACUGAACAGUUUUUUUAAAUCAAUUUGAAUAAAACCGGUAGCGCACUAAUUCCAUCUUUAAACUAUACACGCGGUAUGUAUUUGACCCCCAGCGUCUCUUCCAACUUUUUUUUAACGUUCCACCCCUCUAAUUCCCAUAUCUUGCAACCAAUCAAGUUAAACGAAGGUAAAAUGUACCCUAUUCCUUUCCACAUACCACUCCAGUUUUCUAAAACUACUUUUAAAAAAACUAUUAUCCAUGAAGACAUGUUAACUUUUAAAUUUUUUCAGUGAACUAGUUCUUUCCUUAAGAACAUGUUAAAGUCUCAAAGUUCAUAUAAAUUACAUAAUGCAUAAUUUAAUUUUCAGGAUGAAGAGCAAGUGAAAAUUAAGCUAUGGGAGAACAACUUAACCAUACAUGUUAUAUUUAUACAUACAUAUGUGGGUAAAUGUAUCUUAAAAGAUGCUAUUGUUUUAUGUUUCCUCCUCAACCACUGGCUGUGAUUUUAAUUGUGCUGGAGGAUCUUCAUUAGUAUUAACACAUGGGGAGAUUUCACAAAGCUGCUUCAUUAGGAAAAAAAAAGCUGGCAGACUAGGUCUUUUUGCAUGCACUGAGAAUGUCAGCCUUACCUCGGUCAUUUGUAACAUAAUAAGUGCAAGUACAAUGAUUGCAAUGCAGGAGCACUGGGGGAAGGGCAGAAAUACUGCCUGUCUAGCAGGAAUAACUGAAAAGAAGGCUGCUCAUUACACAGUAAAAUGUAUGCUAAAAAUUAGUGAAGAUGAUGUCUCAGGAGACUGAUGCUAAAUAAAUUAAUGUGCUGAUAUGUUUUUAAUUAUUAUUUUUGUAGUAGUUUAUUUCAUUCUCAGGAUUCACAUUGAGCAGCAAAGCUUAUUGAUUUUUUUCCCUGCCACAUUCCCGGAAUACAGAUUUUAAUCAUUUCACUACACCACACUCAGUAAUUUCAUUAAAAACUGGAAUCUUCUAUCCCCAGAAAAGCAUUUAAUUUCAAUGACAUACAAUUUCUCUUUUAGCAGCAAACUGUCUCUACAGUAAAAGCUGGCCUAAGGUUCAAAUGCAUAAUUUAAUCCUGAGUUUUCCAUGCUCUGCAUUCCUUUCAGGCUAUAAUUUGAGUAACUACCUAAUAACUGUAAUAAGGAUAAUAAUUUCCUUAUAAUAUAUUAUUAACUUAUAUUUAAUUAACUCAGAGGCCAAGCUCCAUACGUGUAUGACUGGGUCAACAGUUCUACAAUCUCAAAAUUUACUAAUAAUGUUCCAGAAGAAAAAUGUAAGUAUGAAUGCUACCACUUAGACUUUAAUCCCAAGUCAUAACACAAAAAAGUUCUAUUAUUUUACAAUUGUCAUUACUCAAGUAAGAUUUUUAAGUAUUUGGAAGUAAUGUAAUUCAGUAAUCUUUCUGUACAUAAAAUAUUAGGAUACUGAUAUUUUAACAUUACUGACACUCCCUAAUCAUUUGCAUUGUUAUUGGUACUUAAUUUUGAAAGAAUAAAAGGUUUGGUUUCAAAGUG